CAGCCGCCACGGGAAUACAGAGGGUGCAAGCGUUAAUCGGAAUUACUGGGCGUAAAGCGCGCGUAGGUGGUUUGUUAAGUUGGAUGUGAAAUCCCCGGGCUCAACCUGGGAACUGCAUCCAAAACUGGCAAGCUAGAGUAUGGUAGAGGGUGGUGGAAUUUCCUGUGUAGCGGUGAAAUGCGUAGAUAUAGGAAGGAACACCAGUGGCGAAGGCGACCACCUGGACUGAUACUGACACUGAGGUGCGAAAGCGUGGGGAGCAAACAGGAUUAGAUACCCCCGUAGUCCCUGUCUCUUAUAU
This 301-nucleotide ribosomal RNA is filed under the name uncultured bacterium. RNAcentral's name for it is "partial 16S ribosomal RNA". It matches the Rfam family "Bacterial small subunit ribosomal RNA", at positions 509 to 809 of the family's 1533-position model. The record is from RNAcentral.